This 75-nucleotide transfer RNA is filed under the name Acropora cervicornis. Its description in RNAcentral is "tRNA-Cys". It matches the Rfam family "tRNA". Rfam says of the family: Transfer RNA (tRNA) molecules are approximately 80 nucleotides in length. Their secondary structure includes four short double-helical elements and three loops (D, anti-codon, and T loops). Lineage: Eukaryota; Metazoa; Cnidaria; Anthozoa; Scleractinia; Acroporidae. The record is from RNAcentral.
GUCUUCAUAGCUCAGUUGGUGGAGCACCGCAACGCAAAUGCAGAGGCAAUGGGUUCGAAUCCUGUUGAAGAGCCG